Cannabis sativa is the source of this 1317-nucleotide long non-coding RNA. RefSeq lists it as uncharacterized. The transcript has 3 exons. NCBI's taxonomy places the organism in Eukaryota, Viridiplantae, Streptophyta, Magnoliopsida, Rosales, Cannabaceae. The record is from RefSeq and is a predicted model, not a curated record.
UUAGCAUGUAAAAUUCAUGCAAACAUCAAUCACUUCAAAUUUCUUAUAUUGAUAACUAAUCAGAUUGUAAAGAGUUUUAUUUAGGGCAUAAAACCCAACAGUUCUGAGUUAUGAAGCAUUGGAACUUCAGCCGGACUUGUCAUACGAGGAACAACCAGUGCAAAUACUUGAUAGAAGAGAAAAAGUCUUGAGAAGCAAGACAGUGGCACUGGUGAAAGUACUGUGGAGGAACAGUAAAGUAGAAGAGGCAACCUGGGAACUCGAGACGGAUAUGCAGCAGAAAUAUCCGGAGUUGUUCAGGUAAAUUUCGGGACGAAAUUUCUAUAAGGAGGGGGUAAUUGUAAUACCCGGAAUUAAGAAAUGGAUUAGCAAAACCCUGACUAGAUAAUUAUGAGUUAAUUGAGGAAUUAUAUUAUUAUAUAGUUCAACAUAUGUGAAAUUAUAUGAAUUUAACAUGUUAAGACCCCGUUGGUGAGCCAGGGGCAUUUUGGUAAUUAUGACCCGAGAAGGGUAAAUUGAUGAAAUUAAGUUAAUUACGUGCUUAAUAGAACUAUAUUAUUAUAUAGUAUGCCUGUGUUGUCUUUUCAGGUGUGUUCUGACAGGUUGGCGCGGUAUAGUCACAACGGGGUAUUUCGGGCCGAACCGGGUUCGGGCCCGAAAUUAAAAUUAGAUUGAAUUAAUUGGCAUUUUAAUUGAUAUUUGAUAAUCUGAAAUUUAAUUGGGUUUGAAAUUGUGUGUUAAUGCCAUUUUUGCCCUUGUAUGUUUAAAGUGGAAGUUAUAUGGCCCUAAGGGCAUUUUAGUCAUUUGGCUUUAUGAGAUAAGUGUGUGAAAUGGCAUUUUUGACAAAAAUGAAAAAGAAAAUAGAAUUUUCUGGUUGUAACUCUCUUGGCCGACCCCCCCUCUCUCUCUCAAACCCUUUUCUUUUUCAAUUUUGAUUUUUGAAGAAAUUGCUUGGAUUUGGCCUUGAAUUGAAGCUUUGAGUUUGUAGAUUUUUGAGCUUGUUCUUGGAUUGAGUUUGAGGAUUACCGGCACCUGGUCAGGAGCACCCGGGGAUUUGGAAUCUCUACUAUUGCGGGACAACAGGAAAGGGUAAGGCAUUAGCUGAUCAGCCAUGAGUUUCAGGAGCAGGGCGAAGAAUGUACUUGUUCAUGCCACUUCAGACCAAGCGGGUUAUGGGUCUAACAGUGUUGACUUUUGUAUUCUGUUUUGCCGCUUAGGUCGGCUAGUAAGAAAGAACUUGUAAUAAUUUUGUAAAUAUUUUUGGGAUCCCAACUAUGUUUGAAAAAGUUUAAAUAUAUUACAAGUUUAUUUUCAGUC